GAACGCUGGCGGCGUGCUUAUCAUCAUGCAAGUCCGAACGGAAAGGCCUUUUCGGAGGUACUCGAGUGGCGAACGGGUGAGUAACACGUGGGUGAUCUGCCCUGCACUCUGGGAUAAGCCUGGGAAACUGGGUCUAAUACCGGAUAGGACCGCACUUUAGUGUGUGUGGUGGAAAGUUUUUUCGGUGUAGGAUGAGCCCGCGGCCUAUCAGCUUGUUGGUGGGGUAAUGGCCUACCAAGGCGGCGACGGGUAGCCGGACUGAGAGGUUGGUCGGCCACAUUGGGACUGAGAUACGGCCCAGACUCCUACGGGAGGCAGCAGUGGGGAAUAUUGCACAAUGGGCGCAAGCCUGAUGCAGCGACGCCGCGUGGGGGAUGACGGCCUUCGGGUUGUAAACUCCUUUCGCCAGGGACGAAGCGUUUUGUGACGGUACCUGGAGAAGAAGCACCGGCUAACUACGUGCCAGCAGCCGCGGUAAUACGUAGGGUGCAAGCGUUGUCCGGAAUUACUGGGCGUAAAGAGCUCGUAGGUGGUUUGUCACGUCGUCUGUGAAAUUCCACAGCUUAACUGUGGGCGUGCAGGCGAUACGGGCUGACUUGAGUACUGUAGGGGUAACUGGAAUUCCUGGUGUAGCGGUGAAAUGCGCAGAUAUCAGGAGGAACACCGAUGGCGAAGGCAGGUUACUGGGCAGUUACUGACGCUGAGGAGCGAAAGCAUGGGUAGCAAACAGGAUUAGAUACCCUGGUAGUCCAUGCCGUAAACGGUGGGCGCUAGGUGUAGGGGCCUUUUGGGGUUUCUGUGCCGUAGCUAACGCAUUAAGCGCCCCGCCUGGGGAGUACGGCCGCAAGGCUA
Molecule: ribosomal RNA, 852 nt
Filed under: uncultured bacterium
Lineage: Bacteria
Description: bacterial SSU rRNA
Rfam family: Bacterial small subunit ribosomal RNA
Source: RNAcentral